Molecule: long non-coding RNA, 1016 nt
Organism: Humulus lupulus (European hop)
Lineage: Eukaryota; Viridiplantae; Streptophyta; Magnoliopsida; Rosales; Cannabaceae
Exons: 4
Source: RefSeq, a predicted model, not a curated record
UUGGCUGAAAUGGGUAUGAUGGAAGAACUCAAAUUUCCCCCAAAGAGGUAUAGCGAUAUAAUUGACGAGAGAGAAUGGUUACAAUUUGUAACUAGUCGUCUAAGUCCAGAGUUUCAAAUAGUGCAUCAAGAACAAAAAAACCGUGCAUUACUAAUGAAGUCAAGGCAUCGAACCUCUCGUAGAGGAAUGGCUAAUAUAAGAGAAGAUUUGAAAAAAGAACGAAAUAUUCAAAAUCCAGAGAGGUAUCAAGUUUGGCUUAGAUCGCGUGAAAAAAAUAAAGUUCUUGUGACAGAGCUAGACCGACAAAUUGCCGAAAAGAUAGAGGACGUCAAAGAAAAAGUGAUUCGUGGCGAAAUUACAGCUCAGGGUUGAGAUGACAUCUUGACUCAAGCAUUAGGGACACCAGAACACCCAGGUCGUGUUCGAGCUGGCGGGUUCACUGCGACCGUUUCCAAAAUGUUUGGAAAAAAAACAUAAAACAAUGACUGCAAGAGAGGAGAUUGCUCGACUAAAAGCUGAGAUUGAAGAGCUAAAAAGACAUAAAUUUAGCACAGAAGAGGAAUUAGCUCAAAAUGAAGAAUAUAAUGAGGAAAACGAUGAGUGUGGAUACAACGAUGAAGGGCAAUUUGAUGAGGGACAAUAUUAUGAGAAUACAAGUGAUGAAGUCUAUCGACCUGCCCCCAACGCAGAUGAUCAUUUUCAUCAAACCGAAGACUAUCCUUUUGAUGAAGAUGAUGGAUCAUCAAUUUAUGAGUCUCCGCCACCACCGACCUAUGAAGUUUAUUUGUGUUCUGAUAAUAUUGACAAUGUGGUGGCUAAAGGUGUACUCAUUGUACCAAACAUGGGUAGCCAAAUUACCGUCCAUGGAAAUGUACUUGAUGAUUCAGUUGCGAGGGUUUGGCUUAUAGAUGUCUUACAAGAAGAAGCUGAGAUCCCUAUUCCCUUUGGUAACGUACGAUAUGUUGGGGACGCACGAGACACAUUCUUGCCUUGGCCUAAAAAUUUAAUUGUGGCUU